Small nuclear RNA from Jaculus jaculus (lesser Egyptian jerboa), 105 nucleotides. NCBI's taxonomy places the organism in Eukaryota, Metazoa, Chordata, Mammalia, Rodentia, Dipodidae. The record is from Ensembl.
GUGCUCUCUUCAGUAGUACAUACACUAAAACUGGAAUGAAACAAAAAGAUUAGCAUGGCCCUGUGCAAGGAUGACAUGCAAAUUAGUGAAGUGUUUCAUAUUUCA